UGGGGCCCCGGGCCACACCAUCAGGAAGUGAAGUGUCAUGGCUGAGCCAGGCAGCUCCACCAGCUCUCUGGGUGCCUCUCCCUCUUCCGUAAGGCGGACAGGCCAGACCUGUGAAGCCGUCGUGAACUUGGAGGGAAAGUCCGUGUCAGAUCUGCUCCUUUCCCCAGAGGGCCGGCAAGACCCCGCACACUCUGGCCCUGCUCUCCCUGACAUAACGGUCCCCAGACCGGGCGGGAGGAGCAAGCCCAGACCCCAAGAUCCCGCAGCUGCGCACCUUGGGCUUAGCCUCCUCACCCGUUUCUGCAGGCGCCCUGGCUUCCCCAGAGGUGUUACUAGUUUGAACAAACCUCCCUCUUCAGAUGCUUUGUCUUAUGCUGCUCUGAAGCUUUUGCUGCUGGACACUGGCCUGAGUGCAGCCUCCUGGAGAUGGUUCCCUUGUGAAAAGAUGUUAUCUUGGGACCAGAGGAUUCUAAUGUGUCAGUUCUUCAAGCAUCUUGUACAUCAGACAGUCAGCCCUUCUCCUGUCAUGUUUCCCAUUGGAGACGAAGAGAUGUACCCCUGAUCCCCGCGUGAUGACUUCUCUUCCGAAAGGCUGCCUCUACCCCUUUGCUUGGGUUUUCUGAGAACUGCGAGAGUAUCUUUUGUGUGUGUGUGUUUGUAUUUUUUUAAGUAUAGUUGAUCGACGAUGUGGUGCCAGUGUCUGCUGUACAGCAAGCUGACCCAGUCAUACGUAUACACACAUUCUUUCUCUCGUGUCACCCCCAUCACCGUCUGUCCCGAGAGACUGGGUACAGUUCCCUGUGCUUAUGGCAGGACUUCAUUCCCCAUCCAUUCUAAAUGUAACAGUUUGCAUCUACUAACCUCAAACUCCCAGUCCAUCCCACUAUGUGUGAGCACCUUGAAUGCCACUAGAAUUCACAUCUUCUUACACAAGCUGACACCCGAGUCCCUGUGAGAACUCCACCGAUCAUCCCUCAAGCUCCAAAGGGGCUUCAAGAUGCCCCUGAAUGUCAGGGAAGGGACCCCAGGGCCCAGCACAGAGAUGUGGGCAGCAGGUAGUCUUCUGAUGGGCUGAAGCUUGGUGCUCAGCGUGCCAUCUCUUGGGCCACCCUGACUCCCAUGCAUUGCACUCAUUCCCAUAGAUGGGCAAAGGCUGAGGCCAGUCAGGGCUGAGGAAGGUCAAGCAGCACUUUGGGAAGAUGGGCCCUGCUGGGCCAACCUGUGGCGAAGGGGUGUGGAGGGUUCGCUUCUUAACCGGCAAGAUCCUCUCUGUAACUAACAAAAUGCAACAAUGUAUUAAAAACAAUACAGCAUGACCAAAGGAGCUUUGAAACACAAAUGCAGGGAUGGUUCAAUAGAUUAAAGAAAUUUCAAAACCUAGGAGUUCCUGUUGUGGUUCAGAGGUAAUGAAACCUCCUCGUAUCCGUGAGCACAUGGAUUCAAACCCUGGCCUCG
RNAcentral lists this long non-coding RNA (1455 nucleotides) under Sus scrofa (pig). RNAcentral's name for it is "lncRNA (ENSSSCG00030007662.1)". The record is from RNAcentral. Lineage: Eukaryota; Metazoa; Chordata; Mammalia; Artiodactyla; Suidae.